This 253-nucleotide ribosomal RNA is filed under the name uncultured prokaryote. Its description in RNAcentral is "partial 16S ribosomal RNA". It matches the Rfam family "Bacterial small subunit ribosomal RNA", at positions 524 to 776 of the family's 1533-position model. The record is from RNAcentral.
UACGGGGGGGGCAAGCGUUGUUCGGAAUUACUGGGCGUAAGGGGCUCGUAGGCGGCCAACUAAGUCAGACGUGAAAUCCCCCGGCUUAACCAGGGAACUGCGUCUGAUACUGGAUGGCUUGAGUUUGGGAGAGGGAUGCGGAACUUCUGGUGGAGCGGUGAAAUGCGUAGAUAUCAGAAGGAACGCCGGUGGCGAAAGCGGCGGACUGGACCUCUUCUGACGCUGAUGCGCGAAAGCUAGGGGAGCAAACGGG